Poecilia latipinna (sailfin molly) is the source of this 256-nucleotide long non-coding RNA. RefSeq lists it as uncharacterized. NCBI's taxonomy places the organism in Eukaryota, Metazoa, Chordata, Actinopteri, Cyprinodontiformes, Poeciliidae. The transcript is spliced from 3 exons. The record is from RefSeq and is a predicted model, not a curated record.
AACACCGUGUCACCAGCGAGAUGUUUUCAGGACAUCCAGCGCGCAGAAAGGACCAAGCCCGACCCGCAGGAAGGUGUUAGUUCAUCCAUCAGCUCCUGUCAAUCCGAGAAGGCGUGAACCCGCCUCCUGUCAGGGGAAGCCAGAGAUCGCAGAGACACUGAGAAGUUGUUGGGUUUUCCAUCCAGAGGCAGAGACCGCAUGCGGCGUUCUGCUUCCCAGGCAGACAGAGAAUGGAGGUUGCCUCUGGCUUCAGGUC